RNAcentral lists this ribosomal RNA (254 nucleotides) under uncultured bacterium. Its description in RNAcentral is "partial 16S ribosomal RNA". It matches the Rfam family "Bacterial small subunit ribosomal RNA", at positions 524 to 776 of the family's 1533-position model. The record is from RNAcentral.
UACGGGGGGGAGCAAGCGUUGUUCGGAUUCAUUGGGCGUAAAGGGUGCGUAGGCGGCGCGGUAAGUCGGGUGUGAAAUCUCGGGGCUUAACUCCGAAACUGCAUUCGAUACUGCCGUGCUUGAGGACUGGAGAGGAGACUGGAAUUUACGGUGUAGCGGUGAAAUGCGUAGAUAUCGUAAGGAAGACCAGUGGCGAAGGCGGGUCUCUGGACAGUUCCUGACGCUGAGGCACGAAGGUCAGGGGAGCAAACGGG